AACGUUUCGAAAGGAACGCUAAUACCGCAUACGUCCUACGGGAGAAAGCAGGGACCUUCGGGCCUUGCGCUAUCAGAUGAGCCUAGGUCGGAUUAGCUAGUUGGUGAGGUAAUGGCUCACCAAGGCGACGAUCCGUAACUGGUCUGAGAGGAUGAUCAGUCACACUGGAACUGAGACACGGUCCAGACUCCUACGGGAGGCAGCAGGC
Molecule: ribosomal RNA, 208 nt
Filed under: uncultured Pseudomonas sp.
Lineage: Bacteria; Pseudomonadati; Pseudomonadota; Gammaproteobacteria; Pseudomonadales; Pseudomonadaceae
Description: partial 16S ribosomal RNA
Rfam family: Bacterial small subunit ribosomal RNA
Source: RNAcentral